UAAAAGCUCCGAUCAUUGAGCUGAGGUUC
RNAcentral lists this non-coding RNA (29 nucleotides) under Rattus norvegicus (Norway rat). Lineage: Eukaryota; Metazoa; Chordata; Mammalia; Rodentia; Muridae. The record is from RNAcentral.